AGCAGCCGCGGUAAUUCCAGCUCCAAUAGCGUAUAUUAAAGUUGUUGCAGUUAAAAAGCUCGUAGUUGAAUUUCGGGGUUCUACCGUUGGUCGGGCUAACCAGUCUGUACUAGCGUGUAGAAUUCCUACCUUCUGGGGAACCAUCAUGUUAUUAAUUUAGCGUGGUGGGAAACCAGGACCUUUACCUUGAAAAAUUAGAGUGUUCAAAGCAGGCUUACGUCUGAAUACAUUAGCAUGGAAUAAUAAAAUAGGACGGUGGUCCUGUUUUGUUGGUUUCUGAAUCACCGUAAUGAUUAAUAGGGAUAGUUGGGGGCAUUAGUAUUCAAUUGUCAGAGGUGAAAUUCUUGGAUUUAUUGAAGACUAACUUCUGCGAAAGCAUUUGCCAAGGAUGUUUUCAUUAAUCAAGAACGAAAGUUAGGGGAUCGAAGACGAUCAGAUACCGUCGUAGUCUUAACCAUAAACUAUGCCGACUAGGGAUCGGACGAUGUUAAAUUUUAUUGACUCGUUCGGCGCCUUACGG
RNAcentral lists this ribosomal RNA (520 nucleotides) under uncultured Scutellospora. RNAcentral's name for it is "SSU rRNA". It matches the Rfam family "Eukaryotic small subunit ribosomal RNA", at positions 569 to 1093 of the family's 1831-position model. The record is from RNAcentral. Lineage: Eukaryota; Fungi; Glomeromycota; Glomeromycetes; Diversisporales; Gigasporaceae.